AGCUCCAAUAGCGUAUAUUAAAGUUGUUGCGGUUAAAAGCUCGUAGUUGGAUUUCUGUUGAGGAUAACCGGUCCGAACGAUGUUCGUGUAUCUGGCUUAGCCUCGGCAUCCUCUCGGAAUACGUUUCUGCGCUUGAUUGCGUGGUGCGGACUCCGGGACUUUUACUUUGAGGAAAUUAGAGUGUUCACGGCAGGCCUUUGCCCUGAAUAUAUUAGCAUGGAAUAAUAAUAUAGGAUCUCGGUUCUAUUUUGUUGGUUUCUAGAAUCAAGAUAAUGACCAAUAGGGACAAUUGGGGGCAUUCGUAUCAACACGUCAGAGGUGGAAUUCUUGGAUUGUGUUGCGACGAACUACUGCGAAAGCAUUUGCCAAGGAUGUUUUCA
Molecule: ribosomal RNA, 380 nt
Filed under: uncultured eukaryote
Lineage: Eukaryota
Description: SSU rRNA
Rfam family: Eukaryotic small subunit ribosomal RNA
Source: RNAcentral